UAGGGAAUCUUCCGCAAUGGGCGAAAGCCUGACGGAGCAACGCCGCGUGAGUGAUGAAGGUCUUCGGAUCGUAAAACUCUGUUAUUAGGGAAGAACAAAUGUGUAAGUAACUAUGCACGUCUUGACGGUACCUAAUCAGAAAGCCACUGCUAACUACGUGCCAGCAGCCGCGGUAAUACGUAGGUGGCAAGCGUUAUCCGGAAUUAUUGGGCGUAAAGCGCGCGUAGGCGGUUUUUUAAGUCUGAUGUGAAAGCCAACGGCUCAACCGUGGAAGGUAAAUGGAAACUGGAAAACUUGAGUGCAGAAGAGGAAAGUGGAAUUCCAGGUGUAGCGGUGAAAUGCACAGAGUAAUGGAGGAACACCAGUGGCGAAAGCAACUUUCUGGUCUGUAACUGACGCUAAUGUGCGAAAGCGUGGGGAUCAAACAGG
This 429-nucleotide ribosomal RNA is filed under the name Actinomycetes bacterium. RNAcentral describes it as "Actinobacteria bacterium partial 16S ribosomal RNA". It matches the Rfam family "Bacterial small subunit ribosomal RNA", at positions 355 to 776 of the family's 1533-position model. The record is from RNAcentral. Lineage: Bacteria; Bacillati; Actinomycetota; Actinomycetes.